RNAcentral lists this ribosomal RNA (482 nucleotides) under uncultured bacterium. RNAcentral describes it as "partial 16S ribosomal RNA". It matches the Rfam family "Bacterial small subunit ribosomal RNA", at positions 30 to 507 of the family's 1533-position model. The record is from RNAcentral.
AUUGAACGCUGGCGGCAGGCCUAACACAUGCAAGUCGAGCGGAUGAAGGGAGCUUGCUCCUGGAUUCAGCGGCGGACGGGUGAGUAAUGCCUAGGAAUCUGCCUGGUAGUGGGGGAUAACGUCCGGAAACGGGCGCUAAUACCGCAUACGUCCUGAGGGAGAAAGUGGGGGAUCUUCGGACCUCACGCUAUCAGAUGAGCCUAGGUCGGAUUAGCUAGUUGGUGGGGUAAAGGCCUACCAAGGCGACGAUCCGUAACUGGUCUGAGAGGAUGAUCAGUCACACUGGAACUGAGACACGGUCCAGACUCCUACGGGAGGCAGCAGUGGGGAAUAUUGGAAAAUGGGCGAAAGCCUGAUCCAGCCAUGCCGCGUGUGAAGAAGGUCUUCGGAUUGUAAAGCACUUUAAGUUGGGAGGAAGGGCAGUAAGUUAAUACCUUGCUGUUUUGACGUUACCAACAGAAUAAGCACCGGCUAACUUCGUG